GCCGGCAGCUAGCUCUCUGCAACUCUCACAUGGUUGCCCACUGAAGCUAAGCAGGGCUGUGCCUGGUCAGUACCUGGAUGGGAGACCACAUGGGAAAGCUAGGUUGCUGCCGAAA
RNAcentral lists this ribosomal RNA (115 nucleotides) under Danio rerio (zebrafish). The record is from RNAcentral. Lineage: Eukaryota; Metazoa; Chordata; Actinopteri; Cypriniformes; Danionidae.